AAACAUAAUAUUCAUAGAAUGAUGAUUCAUACCUACAAAAAAAUAAAAUCACAUAUUUUACUAUAAUAAUAUUAAAUGUUUAUGAUGAUUAAAAGAAUCAAAAUGAACAUUAAAUAUCUAUAAGAUAUACUAAACAUAUGAAUAUUAGAGAUAUUAGUCAUGAACAUUGUAACACCCGUAAAUUUUUUUAAAAUUUUAAUUGCAUUAGUUUUCGGGGGCAGUUUGAUAAAUUAAUAUUUCUCGUGAAUAAACGAGUACUAUUUAAUUUAACAUUUUUAAAUAAUUAUAUAAUAUUGAUUUGUGAAUUUAAAUAAAUAAGUGUAAUUUUAUUAAGUUAAAUUGUUGUGACUAAUUAUCAUAUAAAUGUAAUGUAUUUUAAGUGGGGGUGUUUUUGUAGCUUAAUUAAGAUGGGGGACUAGAGCGAAAUUUAAAAAAAAAAAAAAAAAAGAAGAAGGAAAGAAUAUGCAUUGAGGCCUCUCACUCUCUCUCUCUCUCUCUCUCUCUCUCUCUCUUUUCCUCUCCUUCCUCCUUCCUUCCCCGCCACACAGCCCCAUCCUCAUCCUCAUUUUUGUCGUCCCUUACCACCAGCCACCGAUAAACGCCUCUAUCCUUCUUCCUUUUUAGCCGGCGCCGCUCACUUCCCUUCACUCUCACUAGAUUCCGCUGCAGCAAGGAGGAGAAGACGUCUCCCCGCUGCCACCACCGGUUCGACCUCCUCCUGACAUCCCUUCAUCAAUCUGAUGCUGGAAACGGGGUCCUAGACUCCAAAAAACCAAGGCAACCCUUCUUUCCUGUUUUUCUCCCCCCAACGGACUUUUUUUCUUUCUAGGUCAUGCAAAGGGGGGAUUCCGAGUCGGAUCCUAUUAAUGAGGGAACGCCAUUUGGUUAGGAGCAUUAUUUUGAGGGGUCUUUCUCAACCAAAGCAUGUUGAUUGCACGAGAUGCAGAUAAGUGAUCAAAGUGAGGCUUUACUUGACGAGUAUGAGGGAUUACUCAAAAUAGAGAAAGGCGGGUACAUAACUAAAGAAGUUGGUUAUGGCCUUUAUGAGGAAUUUUAAGAGAUGAAUUAGGUUCUCCUUCCUCUCCUGGUGUAUGAGCUUCACCGGAGCCAAAACUUUCUGGCCUCGAUCCAGUGGCUUCCGACGAGAUUUCAAUAGAAACAAUUGUAUAUUCAGACUCCUCACAACUCAAGCUUCACAUAACCCGUCGAUUCAGUUAGCUCCACCUAAGGCAUAGAAGCAGAGCAAGGGGGUCAUCAGAACUAUGAGUUAAAAUUAUAUAAUGUUUGCAUAUGUGCCAUGCCAAAUUUUAAUGCAACAUUUUUUGUUAAUAAUUAUUAUGAAUAUUAUUAGUAUUA
Ricinus communis (castor bean) is the source of this 1356-nucleotide long non-coding RNA. RefSeq lists it as uncharacterized. Lineage: Eukaryota; Viridiplantae; Streptophyta; Magnoliopsida; Malpighiales; Euphorbiaceae. The transcript is spliced from 2 exons. The record is from RefSeq and is a predicted model, not a curated record.